Molecule: unclassified non-coding RNA, 242 nt
Filed under: Hevea brasiliensis (rubber tree)
Lineage: Eukaryota; Viridiplantae; Streptophyta; Magnoliopsida; Malpighiales; Euphorbiaceae
Source: RNAcentral
GGAAGUUCAAAUGGUGGUAUUGCAGCUGUUUUCGAUGAGAUUCCUUAUGUGAAGCUUUUCCUUGCAAAUUAUUGCUUGAAAUUCACCACGAUUGGACCUACGUAUAAGACUGAUGGCUUUGGAUUUGCCUUCCCGAUAGGAUCACCUCUAGUACCAGAUGUAUCGAGGGCAGUCUUGAAUGUGACUGAAGGUGAAAAGAUGGUACAAAUUGAGAGAGCAUGGUUUGGUGAAUCUACUUGUUC